CACACGGGCUUGCAGCACACAGGGGUGCAGCAGGCGGGCCUGCACACGGGGCGGCAGAGCAGGGACACGCAGGAGGAGGGUCUGCAGCAGGGGCUGGGCUGGCAGCAGGAAGAGGUUGUGCAGGGGGAGUCCUCACAGCACACAGGGGUGCAGCAGACGGGCUUGCAGCACACAGGGGUGCAGCAGACGG
Long non-coding RNA from Leopardus geoffroyi (Geoffroy's cat), 190 nucleotides. RefSeq lists it as uncharacterized. The record is from RefSeq and is a predicted model, not a curated record. Lineage: Eukaryota; Metazoa; Chordata; Mammalia; Carnivora; Felidae. The transcript is spliced from 2 exons.